ACAUUUAGACAUUUUAAUGUAAAUUUUUUACAACUGCAAUUGUCCUGAUACUAAAGUUUAAAUUUUUGAUAUUAAGCAGGGAAGAAUCCACCAAUCUAUGGGAAAAAUUCAUCAACUACGAAACCAAGCCCAACGGAAAAUCUCAAGGAUGUGUGAUAAAAAGGCAAAUGAGAGGCCUGCUGCUGGCCUCGUGAAGAGAGAAGAAUCGUACAUGAACGAAAUUAUGGAAUUGUAUGAUGUUAUAGAAUCAGCGGAGUAUGCUAAAAGUGCGCUUAUACAACCAAAAAUAGUUUACCCUUCAGCUGCCACUAUGUGUUCUCCUAAUGACAACCUAACUGAACAUUUUUCGACAGAAACAAGGAAGGGACGUUUCUUAAAAUUUCGUGAAAGAUUUCUUGAAGAAUUGUAUUCUAAGAAAGGUCAAAUUGGAUGCAUAAAAGCUACCAAAGCAAAACCAGAUAGUUUCAAUAACUAUAGUCAUACUUAUGGUAGGAAAUAUAGCGUACAUCCUUCAGGAUCGCACUCGAUUUUAGAUAACAAAACAAGAAAGGAAAUAAUUCGUGAUAGCAAAAUAUCUCAUCCAAAAUAUCUUAAAAGUCAUAAGCACUAUUUACCAGCAGAAAAAAUUAAGAGAGGCUAUAUAAAACCAUUCGACCUUAAUAAUAGUUUUGGAAUGACCUCCGAUUACUUGGAUAUGACUAAGGUGCAAAGAAUCUUAGAUACUGAAGAUAAGGUAACUAUUAUCACCAAGCGACAGAAAGAUGAACUAACAAAAAAAUUUGGAGUUGCUGGUAUCAGACAAAAUAAAAUAGAAACCGGUGAUCAUCAAAAAGUUUUUGGCCUGCAACCAAUAGUAAAAGCGGCUGAUGUCAAAACUGUAUUUGAUCAUAAAAGUCCAGAACAGAGAAACAAAAAACUAAGUGAUGCAGUACAAUAUGCACAUCAUAUAAGACUGUUUCUAGCUAGGAAGUACCACAUUGAUAUAUCGGAUUUCAAAGCAGCACUUAUUAAAAGUGAUAUAGAGCAAACGGGUUAUAUCACAUUAAAGAAAUUACAAGAUAUAUCAACUAGGGAAAAACUGUGCAUUAAUAUUGAUAGACUUAUGUUGGCUCUGGAACAUUUCGAUAUAUUAAAAAUGAUUAAUAAUGUUCAAUGUGUUAAUAUUUAUGGUUUUUUUAAUUUUGUUACCGGCAAAAUCGCAAUACCCUUUGGUAAACCAAUUGAAAAAUUGGAAACAGAUGAAUAUUUGAUAGACAGUGUAUAUAGGGAAAUGUGUAAGGAUCUAAGUAAAAAAACUUUAAGCAGCACUGAUGAGAAACACAAUGUAAGCCCUUAUAAGAAUACAGUACAACACUUAAUUCACGAUGGCUUAUGUGCGCGUCACGGAUUGACUCCAGAUGACUUUGUAAAACCUAGAUCGAAGGCAGAGAUACGGGAGAUUUUCUCAACAACCAUAAAUACCAACUUUGAUAGAUUAUGGGAGAAAACAUUAAUAAAAUACAAGUCAAAGAAUAAUAUGUUAUCUGUAGGAGAGGUCUUUGAAAUGAUGAAGCAAAUAAUACAAAAGAAAGUAACAUAAAACUGAUAUAUGAAGGAUAUACGGGACUAUAUAUAUAUGUGUGUUUCUUGUUGACAGGAAAAGAAAUCAUGAAAUCAAAAAUGAAAAAGCCACUAUAGAUAUAUGAAUCAAUUGCUGGAUAUAUAAAUAUUUACAAAUCAA
Molecule: RNA transcript, 1720 nt
Organism: Teleopsis dalmanni
Lineage: Eukaryota; Metazoa; Arthropoda; Insecta; Diptera; Diopsidae
Exons: 5
Source: RefSeq, a predicted model, not a curated record